GUGCUGGCUUCUGCAGUACAUAUACUAAACUUGGACCGGUUCAGAGAUUAGCAUGGCCCCGGCGUGAGGAUGACACGCAAAUUUGUGAAGCGUCCAUAUUAAAA
Molossus molossus (Pallas's mastiff bat) is the source of this 104-nucleotide small nuclear RNA. NCBI's taxonomy places the organism in Eukaryota, Metazoa, Chordata, Mammalia, Chiroptera, Molossidae. The record is from RefSeq and is a predicted model, not a curated record.